Non-coding RNA from Podarcis muralis (Common wall lizard), 2356 nucleotides. NCBI's taxonomy places the organism in Eukaryota, Metazoa, Chordata, Lepidosauria, Squamata, Lacertidae. The record is from RefSeq and is a predicted model, not a curated record.
CGUCUGCGUUCUGCGGGGUUGGGUGUGUUCCGCCCCAGUCGCAGCCGCGGGACUCCCGCGCAGUGCACCUCGGGAAUCGUAGUUCUGAAGUGAACGCGCGGCUCUUCGCCAAGCGGGUGGCUCGCUGCUCUGAGGAGAUAAUCCGCAGAGGUCGCGGUGGAUGAUUUGAGUGUGGCCCGGUAUAUGUUCUUCGUCCACGGCUGGUGCUUUGGAUCAAAGGCCGGCGGGUCCUGCUUCCCUGAAGCCCUCACUGUUUCCUAUCUCCUGCUGCAGAGGCUGGCUGGAUUAGUGUGCAAAAUGAAGCAAUGAAAUGACUUCCCAUGAGCAUCCAUAAGAACAGGGUGCAGAAAUCCUUGGAGCCUUUGGUCUGAUGCAGCAGGAAUCCUCUUAUGUUCUUAUAAUCUGAUUCCAGACUCAUGGUUGUAUUGAAUUAGAUUCAUCCUCCAGAACAAGCACACUCUCUUCAAGAUGUGAGGAAGGCAACAUGUGAGCAAGAGAGAGAGGGAGGUGCUUCCAUUGCCUUCCAACUUAGGGCAGAAAAUCUGAGACGUGAGAGCAUGGUCGAGUAUUAAACCAGGUGAUUUGGCGUGGAAUGACCCCCAUAAGAAAUGUGUGGCAUGUGGACUAGCCCUAGAUGUGCACCAGAAUGGGUUGUGAAAUCAAGGGCCUUUCUAUUAUGACACCUCCUAUGUAUAGAAAGGGUCUGCUGGGUCUGCUCCCAGCUUCAUUGUCCUGUCUUCCAGUGCCUCUGCAUGGAGCGUGAAGACAGGCACGGAAAAGCAAAGGAAUGAAGCAAAGGAAUGCGCGUUCACCUGGGCCAACCAGUUACCUAUCAAUAUCCAUAGCUGCUCAGGCCCAUUUCACACGUUACACAGCAGCAAACCUGAACAUGGAGCUUGGUCAGUUUGGGAUGCCUGACAAGCUCAGCAUCCCUGCAGAAUUCGUAUGUUCUCAUGAGUUUUUCACAUUUAUAUGUUAAGAUUUCUAGCUGUGUGCAUAAAACAUUUCAGGUGUACACCUAAAAAAAAGUUAUAUGAAAAGUGGCCCUCUGCCUGUAGAACCAAUGAUCUAACUAGUGAUAGAUGUGCUCCUGAUGAAAUAACUGUGGUCUGAAAUGCAGGGGAGGGGGGGUGCCCCUUCCUCUCUCAGAAUGACACCCAUGCUUGAAAGAAGAUAGAGAGCCAUAGAAGGCAACUGUAAAACACACUGUCUCUUCCAUAGAAACAUAGGAAGUUGCCUUAUACUGAGAUGGACCAUUGGUCCAUCUAGUUCAGUGUUAUCUACGCUAUUAACUACAUCACGUGAGGAUCCUUUGGCCUUCCAGAUGCUGCUGAACUGCAACUCCCGUCAUCCAUUGGCCAUGCUUGUUGGGGCUGAUGGGAGCUGUUGUUCAGCAACACCUGGAGUUCUAAUGGAUCCCCACCCCUGGUACCCUGGACAACUGCUUUGCAAAUUUCAGAGAGGUGUGAAUGUCAAAGGAUGGCUGCAUUUCAGUUCUCUCGUUGUUUUGAAAAGUCCAAAUUAGGAACGUGUUCCAUUAAAUGCAAACUGAAUUGGAUAUCUCCCCCAUCUCUAGGUCAGUUCUACAGUGAGGGAUCUUGAAUCCUCAGCCAAGAAGCUCAUGUUUCUGGACUUGAAAUAAAUUAGGCAAAUCAAUUAAAAAUGAUGGAAGCUUGUUUAUUUUGCUUAAAUCUCAGUAAUAGGCAUAAUUCGAGAUUUGAGGUUUGUUUGUUUCACAUUUGUUUGUUUCUUUGUUGUAUUUAUAUUUCAUUUCUCUGGGCAGUUUGCAAAAGAAAAAGUAUCAGCGUUUUUUUUAGAUGCCACAAUGACUUUACAUAAUUAUAUUUUUAAUGUGAGAAAUCAGAGAUGUGUUGGAAGUUGUUUGGGGAAACCUUGAUGGUUUUAGAAGGAAAACAUUCCAGCAUUUGUAAUAUCCUAUUCCGUACGCAUCAAGGUGAGUUUGAAUGAAAAGUGCUCUGCUGCCAUCUUCUGGGAACUUGUGUUCAAAAGAGCCCAAAGUGUUGGCAGUUGGAUGAGAAAAGGUUUCUCCAUCUUCUCCUCCAGCUUCAAAACAGAGGCACUCUCAGGCGCAGAAUGAAUGAAAACCUGCAUUUAUCACUUACUGUUUUUCCCUGACCAGAUGAAAGCAUGUUCCUGAUGUGUUUUCCCCACAGGGUAGCUUUAGAACUGCCAUGUGUUGGCUACUGCAAGCUGUUAUUUCCUUCCCAUCUUUUUUUAAUGUAAAUCUUAACAAAUGCUACAAUCCCACCUGCCUACAUGUCAAUUUAAUCCCAGCUGAUCGAUAGAUGAGCAAACAUCACAAAGCAUUCAGGCUCUUUGCUGCUGCAGGAACAAA